Molecule: ribosomal RNA, 811 nt
Filed under: Ganoderma sp.
Lineage: Eukaryota; Fungi; Basidiomycota; Agaricomycetes; Polyporales; Polyporaceae
Description: partial large subunit ribosomal RNA
Rfam family: Eukaryotic large subunit ribosomal RNA
Source: RNAcentral
UGAAGCGGGAAAAGCUCAAAUUUAAAAUCUGGCGGUCUUUGGCCGUCCGAGUUGUAGUCUGGAGAAGUGCUUUCCGCGCUGGACCGUGUAUAAGUCUCUUGGAACAGAGCGUCAUAGAGGGUGAGAAUCCCGUCUUUGACACGGACUACCAGUGCUUUGUGAUGCGCUCUCAAAGAGUCGAGUUGUUUGGGAAUGCAGCUCAAAAUGGGUGGUGAAUUCCAUCUAAAGCUAAAUAUUGGCGAGAGACCGAUAGCGAACAAGUACCGUGAGGGAAAGAUGAAAAGCACUUUGGAAAGAGAGUUAAACAGUACGUGAAAUUGCUGAAAGGGAAACGCUUGAAGUCAGUCGCGUUGUCCGGAACUCAGCCUUGCUUUCGCUUGGUGCACUUUCCGGAUGACGGGUCAGCAUCGAUUUUGACCGUCGGAAAAGGGCUGGAGUAAUGUGGCACCUCCGGGUGUGUUAUAGACUCCGGUCGCAUACGGCGGUUGGGAUCGAGGAACGCAGCGCGCCGCAAGGCAGGGGUUCGCCCACUUUCGCGCUUAGGAUGCUGGCAUAAUGGCUUUAAACGACCCGUCUUGAAACACGGACCAAGGAGUCUAACAUACCUGCGAGUGUUUGGGUGGAAAACCCGAGCGCGUAAUGAAAGUGAAAGUUGAGAUCCCUGUCGUGGGGAGCAUCGACGCCCGGACCUGACGUUCUCUGACGGAUCCGCGGUAGAGCAUGUAUGUUGGGACCCGAAAGAUGGUGAACUAUGCCUGAAUAGGGUGAAGCCAGAGGAAACUCUGGUGGAGGCUCGUAGCGAUUCUGACGU